RNAcentral lists this ribosomal RNA (491 nucleotides) under uncultured bacterium. RNAcentral describes it as "partial 16S ribosomal RNA". It matches the Rfam family "Bacterial small subunit ribosomal RNA", at positions 29 to 506 of the family's 1533-position model. The record is from RNAcentral.
AGUGAACGCUGGCGGUAGGCCUAACACAUGCAAGUCGAACGGCAGCACAGUAAGAGCUUGCUCUUACGGGUGGCGAGUGGCGGACGGGUGAGGAAUACAUCGGAAUCUACUUUUUCGUGGGGGAUAACGUAGGGAAACUUACGCUAAUACCGCAUACGACCUACGGGUGAAAGCAGGGGAUCUUCGGACCUUGCGCGAUUGAAUGAGCCGAUGUCGGAUUAGCUAGUUGGCGGGGUAAAGGCCCACCAAGGCGACGAUCCGUAGCUGGUCUGAGAGGAUGAUCAGCCACACUGGAACUGAGACACGGUCCAGACUCCUACGGGAGGCAGCAGUGGGGAAUAUUGGACAAUGGGCGCAGGCCUGAUCCAGCCAUACCGCGUGGGUGAAGAAGGCCUGCGGGUUGUAAAGCCCUUUUGUUGGGAAAGAAAAGCAGCAGGUUAAUACCCCGCUGUUCUGACGGUACCCAAAGAAUAAGCACCGGCUAACUUCGU